RNAcentral lists this ribosomal RNA (253 nucleotides) under uncultured bacterium. RNAcentral describes it as "partial 16S ribosomal RNA". It matches the Rfam family "Bacterial small subunit ribosomal RNA", at positions 524 to 776 of the family's 1533-position model. The record is from RNAcentral.
UACAGAGGGUGCAAGCGUUGUUCGGAAUUACUGGGCGUAAAGCGCGUGUAGGCGGUUUGAUAAGUUGGGUGUGAAAUCCCUCGGCUCAACCGAGGAACUGCAUUCAAAACUGUCAGACUAGAGUAUCGGAGGGGGUGGCGGAAUUCCCGGUGUAGAGGUGAAAUUCGUAGAUAUCGGGAGGAACACCUGUGGCGAAGGCGGCCACCUGGAAGAUUACUGACGCUGAGACGCGAAGGCCAGGGGAGCAAACGGG